AAUUACUGAGAUAAUAUUGUAAGCUUUCCGUUUGAUUCAAUUUUAGGAGCAUUUUUUCCAACCCAAAUUUAGUCUAAUAAGAUAAAAUAUCAAAAACAGAGUUCUUAUGUCGCAUGUUCAGUUCUUAACAACAUAGGUUAUUAGUGACUUAAAGUUUUGCAACAAAAUUGUUUCUCCAGCAAACCUAAUUUUUUGCAGCUGCCAUGCUGUUUCUGCAGACUGCAGCACCGCCGCCGCUUCCUCUGCUCUAUACUUGACCAAGUGAAGAGAAGAGGAAUAGAGAGGCAACAAGCAGCCAAGGCAACUUUGCUUGCUGUGUUUUCGGCUGCAUGGUUGCGUCCCCCAUGGUACCUAGCGCGAUGGCACGAGAAGCCAAGGUCCCUCUCUGCGAGCAGCACUGGCGAUGGGGAUGUGAGGCUGUUGUAGUGGCUUCAGGCCCUCACGUUGACGAGCUCAAAAGGAUGCAGCCACGGGAAGGACAAGGGAACGAUGAGCAGCCAGCCAUGGUGGGUUUGGGGGGGAAAACACAACAGGGCUCCUCCCUACUAGCAUCAAUUUCUCAUCUUCAGUUUGACGAAGCUGCUAAGGUUAUGUAGAAGAGUUGUGUGUGCGUGUACUUGAUUUAGAGAAACCUUGAGGUAACCUAACUGCUCUUCCCUUUAAAAAUAGUUAAAUUCGUUGUUUUUCACUGAUUUCCUUUCAAGUUGCUUAUUUCUGAUAUAUUAAUGGAUAACACAACUAAAACGCCCAACAACUAGAAUGUUUUGUGUUUCUCUUGUAAUAAGCAGCAAACAAUUCAUAACCAAAUAAUAAAAAAGAGUAAUAGUUGCCUAAAAAAACUCGUUUAAUGGUAGUUUUUUAAAAUUAAAAGAAUAGCAACCAUGUACUCAAAUUACAAUUUAUAAAAUAGGAUCUCCCAUGUUUUCUCUACCUCUUUCUUCAGACAGAUCCAAAGUGGGUGGUUAAGAAACCCAGUUGUAUGUGCUACUAAAUUCUAACAUUAUGGUUCUAACUCAAGAUGGUCUAUUAUGGUCAUUCUUUGCCUGGUACCACCGGAUAAUUUCAUGACGACGAUAUGCAUCUAUAUACUAUUGCAAAAGAGUAGACUAAAAAUAAAUAUCUGAAACCACAAUUUUUAUUGAAGGCUGAGCUUUCUUAUAAGCUUACAUAUGUAUUGUGCGUCACAUACACUUUGCAACUAAUUGUGUUUGUCAGAUCAUAUGCCAAAUUUUCCUAUCUUUUACGUGGCUUCAGGCUUCUAUGAAGAUUCACAUUCACUCAAGUCAUAGCACGGUAAAACUUGUACAUCUGCGGUGGAAGAAAUUGCAUGUAUUUGGCCACUCUAUGGGUUACUCCUUGCUCUGCUGCGUCUUUCAAUUUUGGGAGCCUGUUUCUCAAAUGUGUGAUCUAUAGGCAUUGACCCUGCUGUUCUUGCAACCAGGUGCGCCGAUCUCUUGCAAUCUAGCGGCGAUAGCGCUUCACAGGCUGCAUUCACUGGCAUUGCUUAAUGUUAACGGGGGUGGCUUUCAGUGUUUCCCAAAGCAGAAGACUUGCUACGUCUUCAAGCUAGUUCAGUGUUUCCGGCACAGGCUCCUACCGCCCUUUCCCUUUCUGCUGCUACUGCUACCCUCGGAGCCAUGUCGAUGGCUGGCAGACGACCCGGCACCUCCCGCCGCUGCCCUCGGACUUGGAGGAGGCGCCGCCGGGUACGAGUAAGACAGGGGCACCGCGGAUGCAGGCAUCAUCACCGGCACGGCAGCAGGGUAGUGAGGCAUCGUCUGAAGCAUGGCAGCACCGAAGGGAACCAUCGUCGUCGGAGCGGAGGCGAGGACCACCGGAGGUGCUGGCAUCAUCGGCACGGUGACCCCCGGCGGGGCCCCCGGAGGUGCGUACUGCGGUGGCACGACAGGGACCGCCGGCGGCGGCGGCGGACGGGCAGGGCCGAUGGACAUCGCCUGUACAUGGUGCUGCAGCGAUUUCAUGUACUGGAUGGUCUGGUCCAGCCAGCGUCGAGGCCUGGUUGGACUGAAAAUUGCACACACAAAAAAAAGCCGACCAUCCCUGUCAGAACUCAGAAGACAACACUGAACACAGCAAUCACGCAUGCGUAUAGUCAGUCAUCAGGCAGAUUAUACAUGAGAAUGUUUUAUAUAUGGAAAUGCA
This is a long non-coding RNA of Panicum virgatum (switchgrass), 2163 nucleotides long. RefSeq lists it as uncharacterized. The transcript has 3 exons. The record is from RefSeq and is a predicted model, not a curated record. Lineage: Eukaryota; Viridiplantae; Streptophyta; Magnoliopsida; Poales; Poaceae.